AGUGAACGCUGGCGGUAGGCCUAACACAUGCAAGUCGAACGGCAGCACAGUAAGAGCUUGCUCUUACGGGUGGCGCGUGUCGGACGGGUGAGGAAUACAUCGGAAUCUACUUUUUCGUGGGUGAUAACGUAGGGAAACUUACGCUGAUACCGCAUACGACCUACGGGUGAAAGCAGGGGAUCUUCUGACCUUUCGCGAUUGAAUGAGCCGAUGUCGGCUUAGCUAGUUGGCGGGGUAAAGGCCCACCAAGGCGACGAUCCGUAGAUGGUCUGAGAGGAAGAACAGACAGAUUGUCAGAGAGAAAGGGUCCAGACUCUUACAGGGAGACACAGCGGGGAAUAUUGCACAAUGGGGGAAUGCGUAAUCCAGCAAUACGGGGUGAGGGAAGAAGGACUUCGGGUGGGAAAGCGAUUUAGUUGGGAGAGAAGAACAGCAGGUUAACACCCCGCGGUAAUGACGGUACCCAAAGAAUAAGCACCGGCUAACUCCGUG
RNAcentral lists this ribosomal RNA (492 nucleotides) under uncultured bacterium. RNAcentral's name for it is "partial 16S ribosomal RNA". It matches the Rfam family "Bacterial small subunit ribosomal RNA", at positions 29 to 507 of the family's 1533-position model. The record is from RNAcentral.